CGGGGUAUAGCUCAGUCUGGUAGAGCGCACGUCUGGGGGACGUGAGGUCGCAUAGGUUCAAGUCCUGCUAUCCCGACCA
Molecule: transfer RNA, 79 nt
Filed under: Thalassotalea eurytherma
Lineage: Bacteria; Pseudomonadati; Pseudomonadota; Gammaproteobacteria; Alteromonadales; Colwelliaceae
Description: tRNA-Pro
Rfam family: tRNA
About the family: Transfer RNA (tRNA) molecules are approximately 80 nucleotides in length. Their secondary structure includes four short double-helical elements and three loops (D, anti-codon, and T loops). Further hydrogen bonds mediate the characteristic L-shaped molecular structure. tRNAs have two regions of fundamental functional importance: the anti-codon, which is responsible for specific mRNA codon recognition, and the 3' end, to which the tRNAs corresponding amino acid is attached (by aminoacyl-tRNA synthetases). tRNAs cope with the degeneracy of the genetic code in two manners: having more than one tRNA (with a specific anti-codon) for a particular amino acid; and 'wobble' base-pairing, i.e. permitting non-standard base-pairing at the 3rd anti-codon position.
Source: RNAcentral